CAUACGUUGACGGUAUUUAACCAGAAAGUCACGGCUAACUACGUGCCAGCAGCCGCGGUAAUACGUAGGUGGCAAGCGUUAUCCGGAUUUAUUGGGCGUAAAGAGAGUGCAGGCGGUUUUUCUAAGUCUGAUGUGAAAGCCUUCGGCUUAACCGGAGAAAGUGCAUCGGAAACUGGAUAAACUUGAGUGCAGAAGAGGGUAGUGGAACUCCAUGUGUAGCGGUGGAAUGCGUAGAUAUAUGGAAGAACACCAGUGGCGAAGGCGGCUACCUGGUCUGCAACUGACGCUGAGACUCGAAAGCAUGGGUAGCGAACAGGAUUAGAUACCCUGGUAG
This 334-nucleotide ribosomal RNA is filed under the name uncultured bacterium. RNAcentral's name for it is "bacterial SSU rRNA". It matches the Rfam family "Bacterial small subunit ribosomal RNA", at positions 463 to 793 of the family's 1533-position model. The record is from RNAcentral.